This is a long non-coding RNA of Rosa chinensis, 3690 nucleotides long. RefSeq lists it as uncharacterized. NCBI's taxonomy places the organism in Eukaryota, Viridiplantae, Streptophyta, Magnoliopsida, Rosales, Rosaceae. The record is from RefSeq and is a predicted model, not a curated record. The transcript has 2 exons.
UAUUACUAGGUUUAAACAAAAGAAAACAAAGCCUUCCACCCAGUCCUCUCUCAACGCUCGACACUCUCUCGACACGAAACAAAAUCUCAGUCCUCUCUCAUGAACCCUAAAUCUCAGUCCUCUCUCACACUCCUCCUCCACCUUUCUUCCCCGAUAUACCAACCCAAAUCCCUAUAUCUCCUCCUCCUUACUCUCAAAUCCUCAAAUCUCCUCCUCCUCGCCUUCAAAGUAUGGUCAAUUGAAGAGAUGCAGAAGACUAACAGACUGUUCAAGCUCCUUGUCACGAAACUCUAACAGACUAACAUCUCCAUGGCCGCCAACCGCGCUACCAUAUCUUCUCUGCCGUAGUGAAGAAUGACCAUGUCCACUCUCAAAGCCUGAAUCUCCCUCGUCACCGUACUCACCACCCAAGCCUCCUCUGUCUCCCAGUGACAUAUAUGUUCAAAUCCCUUUCCCACAAUCUAAAAUUUUCCUUGAUUUUCAGGUUUAGUUGGUUCCGAUUUGGUUUUAACAUUGGUGUUUUCUUUCUUGUUGUUGCAGUUUUACUUGAUUGGCCACCAAGACAGCCAAGUACGUCUUCCCAAGUAGUUCGAGGCUCGGACUCUCGAGGAAGCUCUCAUGUCAGGUAUUGUUUUUGGGUUGAUUCCGAUUCCAAUUAGGGGAAUCCUAAAUCCCAGUUCCUAUAUAAACUCAGCUCUCUCUCUCUCUCUCUCUCUCUCUCUCUCUCUCUAUAUAUAUAUAUAUAUAUAUAUAUAUAUAUAUAUAUAUAAAACCUGAGUCAGCGUUUCUGCUUUUCCUAGUCUUUGAUCACCGUCUGAAUUUUCUUUCUUCAAUGCCACCGUAGCCAUUAGUUGGGCUUUACUUUACCCUUUUAAAUUCAUCUUGCUAUAUCUGAUUCCUUGCAUAAUUGGGAAUUUAGGGUUUGCUUGUUUCGGUUUAGUGAUAUAAUUGGGAGAAUGGAAGGCCUUAAUAGUGCAAAUCUUCUUGGUGUUUGGUUUUUGUUGCGGUGGUUUCAGUUUUAGCAGUUUGUGGGCCGGCCCUAUAUUGGAGGUUCAAGAAGGGUGUUUAGUUGGGUGAUGCCAAAUCUUCUUGCCUAACUUGCAAUUGUGAUUACCCUCCUCCUUCGUCCCUACUCAAAAUUGCUCCGAGUAACCCUCUUAUCUCUAUGUAAAUGGCCGGGUUUUAAUUUGGUUUAGAUUAUGAAUGUUUGUGUUGUGAUUCUAUGUUUCUGGAAAGUUUGGUUCUUUGUGGAUUGGAAUGAAAUUGAAGGGCACCCAUGUCAUCAGUUUGGGGUUUGGAUCCUUGUUAGUGCUAGUUUUUUUAUUUGGAGCUGCUCAUAUGAUGCCCAAUUCAGAUUUAGAUUUACUGUUUGAUUUAAGUAAAGUUGAGCUCUUGGUAUUGCAUUAUGAAUUUCAAACUAUUUAGCUUAUGAUUGAUUUAUAAUAUUGAAGCCCAGUUCUCUUUUGUAGUUUCUUGUCCAUUUUUUUUAAGUUGAGAAAUGUGCAAUGCUUAGCUUAGGUCCCAUAUCAAUUCUUUCUAUUCAAUUAAGCUGGUGUUUUGGGGAUUAGAUUGUUCACUCUAACUAGAGCGUGGAUUAGAUUCCCUUAAUUAUAUCCUGUGGAAGAAGAAGGAGUUUACAAAAUUUGUCUUUUUUGUGGAAAAGGUGAAUUAAUAUGAAUGUUCCAGUGUAGUCAUUCCUUGUUUAGUUUGAAGUUAAUUGCUGUAUUGUAAUAUUGAUUGCCUGUCUGCUAUUAUGCUUUUUAUGUCCCAGAAAAGAAAAUAUUUUUUGUGCAGUAAUGACAUAGUAUAUGUGACAGAAGCUCAGGUAAAUGAUUAUGGUUAGUGGAACUAGUACGAAUGCUUGCUUUGUGGAAGUUUGGCAGAGAAUUAUUCUGUUGUAUUAUUGGGCAUCUUGGUUGAGUUUUUUUGUUUUGAUGCUUGAUUUGGUAUUCCCUUGUAGUUUAAAGGUAGUCAAACCCCAAACUUUUGAUUUAGGCAUUAUAGGAUGCCCUUUUGAGAAGUAAUUUGCCAUGUAGUGAAAAAGCUAGAUGGGAAUUAAAUCAAAUGUUUCACAUUUAUACGAACGUAUGCAAACACACUUGUGCACAUAUCAUUUAAUAUGGUUACUAUUGAUUUCUAAAGUGAUGUGUACUUGAUAUAUUCUGGAAACAUAUUAUUAGUUCCAUGGGUCACUCAUUAUGAUGAUGACCAGAAAAGUUUCAAUUGAUUUUAAGAAUGCUGUCAUUCAAUGCAGACAUCACAUGUAAUUUACCAUAGGACUUUACCAUAGGACCAAUUUUCUGUCCGUAAAAUUUGGCCGCCUGUUCUGUGUUUGUAGUGUCUAUAAACUGUGUUUCCUAAAAUGAUUUCUCUGGAGCUGCCUGGGUUGUAAGUGGAAGAUAAACUAGGGAAAGAAGAGCUAGGCAGCCUAUCGACUCAUCCUGUAUAGUUUACCCACAGUUUACCACUUUACUAGGCAUGUGCAUAUUAAUGUAAUCAUGAUUUCUUACCAGGUACUUCCAAGAAUUAAUCCAAUGAUAGUUUGUCCUAAAGUUCUUGAAGAUCAGGUAAGUUGCAGCUUUGCGACUUCUAGAUUUGUUUGGUAAUGCACAUUUCUCUAUAAAAAUGUGUUUGACUUUGUCAUGUCUUUAGUAAUUGAUAGAGUAGACUGACAAAUUGAAGAUUUCAUUAGUUAGGGUGAUCUAGUUUUUCCUAUUAGAUCUUUCCUUAGGCUAUGAAAUUAUAGUUAUUCUUUACCAGUUUGGCAAAGGAUUCAUCUAUACCACUGAAGCAAACUGAUUUGUGUAAAAUUUGUGUGCUGAGUUCUAUCUUUAAACUAUUGAUGAUAUAAGAGUAUUGAUGAUAUAGUUUUACAGGAAUUUACAUAUAUAGAAUGUGCUAUCUAGCAACAGGAGUCUAGUGCUUUUCGUUGCCCAUAGUUGAUUAGGUUGGCAGCAAUUUACCCCAAGGGCAAUUUCUUAACACCUUUUGUGGCUUUCUUUCUUACAUUUUUUUUUCCCUAAUGAGAUGGACUAGAUCUUGGAUCCAACUAUUACCUUGUUACUGUAGUUUUCUUUACCUUUUUCUAUCAUUCAAAUGGUUCAUUGUGUAAAUGGCUUUGAUUGCAACCUGACUUAGAAGCAAGUAAAAUAUGUUCAAGAACACAUUCCAAUAUGGGUUUCUCUCCAUUCCAUGCAGCCUUUUGUAUGUCUCGACCUCUUUUGCUCUUGUGUUUUCAGUUUUCAUUUAUCAUACUUGUUGUAAUCUUGAUGCUUAACCUGUGCAUUUUUCUGGAUAAUUAGGAGCAAACAUUUCCAGAUAUAGGAUAAAGAAGAAAUAUGAUGCUGACCUAGCGGCAAAGGCAGCUGCUGUAACUGUCUGGGCAUCCAAGUUGGGUGUGGAUUGCAUUUAGGAGAUGAAUCUAGAGCUAAUGUUGCACAAGAUAAUGAACUUAUCCAUUAGAAUCCUCAAGCAUAUGCUGCACGAGAUGAAAAUUGGAUUGCUCGUAUUGCAGCAUUACUUAUGAGUGAGGAUUGAACACAAUCUUGUAUAGCUUAUGAAAUUAGAAGGCUUAGUUCAAUGAAAUGUUUAAAUGCUUGUAAUGUUGUAUAUGGUGAAUCAAUUGGAGUUUGUUUGAUGUAUCAAAGUUACUUUUAACAUUAAUAUAAAAUUAUUGUUUAUUGGUAAUAA